Molecule: ribosomal RNA, 958 nt
Filed under: Comacupes cavicornis
Lineage: Eukaryota; Metazoa; Arthropoda; Insecta; Coleoptera; Passalidae
Description: partial 16S ribosomal RNA
Source: RNAcentral
UUCUCGAUAGAAAAUGGGCGAUAAAUUUAUAGUUAUUAAUGUUGAAUAAUUAUUAUUAAUAGGUUUAUUGUAAUGAAACGUUAUUCGAAUUUUCUUAUAUCUAGUUUUUUAAGAAAUAAAUUGAAUUUACUUAUUAAUAUUUAAUUAUUUAAAUUUAUAGUUGAUUAAUAAUUAAUAUGAAAUUUUAUUGGGGAUAAGCUCAGUAAAAAAAGACUAAUUUUGUUAAAAUAGGGUAUUUAGUGGGAAUAGAGGUUUCUAUCUAUUAUAGUGUGUUAUUACAAAUUAUCUAUAAAAUAAGAUUUAUAUAGGAUUUAGUUUUUUUAUUAGAAUAAUUAAUAUAAUUUGGUAAUUGAGGGAAUAAUGAUUAAAUUAGUAUAUUGAUUUGUGAAAGUAAAGUUUAUUGAUAGGUAUAGUGAAAGGAAUUCGGCAAAUAGGUUUUCGCCUGUUUAUUAAAAACAUGGUUUUUUGAUUAUGAUUUAAAAUUUGGCCUGCCCAAUGAGGAGUUGAAUGGCUGCAGUAUUUUGACUGUACAAAGGUAGCAUAAUAAUUAGUUUUUUAAUUGAGAACUGGAAUGAAAGGUCGGACGAGAAAUUGACUGUCUUUAUUAUAGUUUAAUAUAAUUUUAUUUUUAAGUAAGAAAGCUUAAAUAUUUUUAAAAGACGAGAAGACCCUAUAGAACUUUAUAUUUGUAUUAUUAAUUGGAAUAUUAGUAAUUAAUUUUAUUAGUAUGAAAAGUAUUGUGUUGGGGCGAUUGAGAAAUUAGAUUAACUUUUUUAUAUUAUUUUUUACUUAUAAGUAUAUGUUUGAUCCAUAAGUUAUGAUUAUUAGAUUAAGUUACCUUAGGGAUAACAGCGUAAUCUCUCUUGAGAGUUCUUAUUGAGAGGGGGGGUUGCGACCUCGAUGUUGGAUUAAAUUAAAUUACGGGUGAAGGAGCUCGAUAAUUUGGUCUGUUCGACCA